Molecule: non-coding RNA, 21 nt
Organism: Caenorhabditis elegans
Lineage: Eukaryota; Metazoa; Nematoda; Chromadorea; Rhabditida; Rhabditidae
Source: Ensembl
UAAUGUUUCCUUCCAUUUUGC